This is a long non-coding RNA of Oryzias latipes (Japanese medaka), 1607 nucleotides long. RefSeq lists it as uncharacterized. Lineage: Eukaryota; Metazoa; Chordata; Actinopteri; Beloniformes; Adrianichthyidae. The record is from RefSeq and is a predicted model, not a curated record.
UGGGAUUUUGGCUUCUUGGAGCCAGCGGGGACUUCCUGUUUUAAUCAUAGGGGGAGGGGUCACUCAGUCCCGUUCUCAUUUUAAUUAGGUUUAUACAUUUCUUUGCUUAUCAGAACCUCGUUCACUUACAGCUUCAUCAAUUAAAGUAUAAAAUUAUGUAUUUGAUGAAUUCAGCUUUUUCAAAUUACAGUGAGACCUACAAACAUGCAUGGAGUGUGUUUAGAUGUGAGCAUGUGUGGGGGUCACAGUCCGUUGACAGCUGAAAGGCAGGGUCACCUUCAGUUGACAGGAUGUUAGUGAUGCCCUUUUAAAUCCAAAUGUUUUGCUUCCCCCACCCUCCUCACCUCUCUGGUCCCAGCUGCCACACCUCUUACACCUCUGACCCCAGCCCAAGGCCAAGGUUGGGAGGUUGUUGCCACGGCAACACAACAACCCUGUGGUUACUGACUGCUGACCCAGGGAGCCUAAAGUAACCGUGACCAUGGUAAUUGUCUCCUCUCUGCCCCUCACCAGCAAAUGCAUGACUAGCAUUCAGAGAGAAGGAAACCAAACUGAACCGAAGCGGGGUGGAGGAAAGGAAAGAUGGACAGAUGGACUCGGGGGACAAAAGGAGGACGCGUGUGCUGAUAAAAGUUUUUGGGUUGUCCGGGCCCGUGGAGGAUCGUAGACAAGAGCAGCCGCAUCUUAAGGGGAGCUCAGGUGUGUGCAGUUGGCUCGUAUGGCCACCUCAAGGGACGUUAUGAAAAUGGAAUGGACGAUUGUUGUGCAUGUGCUCUUCGGUCUCAUGCCACUGCCGUGUUUUGCUCCGUCAUGGCCACUGGAGCAACGCCUGAACCCUUUUGGCUGAUGGACAGCUGACCAUCUUGCAGCUGGGGAGCUGACAGAAAGAGGGACUGGAAGACGACUGACAGAAAUCCUAUCAUGCGCUCUGCUUAGAAAAUCUGCUGGCCGAUCCCAGAGGUCCAUUCCCCUCCUCUUCAUCUCCCCCAUGCUGUGUCUUCACCUAGAAUCCAUGCAUACAUGCGAGCAGAAAAAUCCCCAAAACUAACCGCUCACAGAACACACGAGAGCGUUUGUAAACUUCAUUUGAAUUAUACAUCAGCUUCUUUCUAAAAUCCUUUUGAUCGUGACGAUGAAAAAAACAUAAAAGCCGAGGAGCCAAACGUUUUUCCGACAUCUUAGAUUUUCACGAUUUUAGAAUAAUGUUUGCCAGAUCACGCUGCAUGGGAAUGAAGCCCAUUUACUUCGCACACAGUAACUUCUUCGUAAGAAUAAGAAAAAAAAGGAAAAAAAAACCACUGCAGUACAGCAGAGCCCAAUACUAACAAGUAGGUCAUGAGGGGGGUGGGGGUUUUAUCCCAUCUGGAGCAGUGCAUUCUGAGUAGUUGACUGCAGAUGAAGGGAAGACGAUGAGAGAUUUGUACCAAAGACAAGCUUUCUCUGCAUUUCUUUCUGCUUGCAAACCAACUCUGGUCUCUUGCACCUUGACGUCUGCUGUCACGUACUCUGCCAACCCCCCACCCCCAUGCUACCAAAUGGGGAGGUGGAGGGAUCUGUUGUGAAAUAUAGGAAGAGUAGACGGUAUAAAGACUUAAAUUUGGAUAAAG